Molecule: long non-coding RNA, 504 nt
Organism: Mytilus californianus (California mussel)
Lineage: Eukaryota; Metazoa; Mollusca; Bivalvia; Mytilida; Mytilidae
Exons: 2
Source: RefSeq, a predicted model, not a curated record
AUUUUGGGGGUUAUGGUACCAACAGUUAUGGAAUUGGGGGCCAAAAAUAAGCAUUUUUGUAACUUUCAGACAUAACUUGUGUGUAAGUGUAUGGAUCUCUCUGACAUUGUACCGCAAGGUUCCAUAUCACAAAGGGAAUGCUGGGAUUGAUUUUGGGGGUAAUUGCCUCCAAAUUUUAGGAAUUAGGGGCCAAAAAGGGGCAAAAAACAAGCAUUUUUCUAGUUUCAUGACAAUAACUUGUGUGUAAGUGUAUGUAUCUCUCUGACAUUGUAUCACAAGGUUCCAUAUCACAAAGAGAAUGCUGGGAUUGAUUUUGGGGGUAAUUGCCUCCAACUUUUAGGAAUUAGGGGCCAAAAAGGGGAAAAAAACAAGCAUUUUUCUAGUUUCAUGACAAUAACUUGUGUGUUAGUGUAUGGAUCUUUAUGAAAUUGUACAAGGUUCCAUAUCACAAAGGGAAAGCUGGGUUUGAGUUUGGGGGUAAUUGCCCUAAACGUUUAGGAAUUU